RNAcentral lists this ribosomal RNA (479 nucleotides) under uncultured bacterium. RNAcentral describes it as "partial 16S ribosomal RNA". It matches the Rfam family "Bacterial small subunit ribosomal RNA", at positions 28 to 507 of the family's 1533-position model. The record is from RNAcentral.
GAUGAACGCUGGCGGCGUGCUUAACACAUGCAAGUCGAGCGAAGCACUUUGGAAAGAUUCUUCGGAUGAUUUCCUUUGUGACUGAGCGGCGGACGGGUGAGUAACGCGUGGGUAACCUGCCUCAUACAGGGGGAUAACAGUUAGAAAUGACUGCUAAUACCGCAUAAGACCACGGUACCGCAUGGUACAGUGGUAAAAACUCCGGUGGUAUGAGAUGGACCCGCGUCUGAUUAGGUAGUUGGUGGGGUAACGGCCUACCAAGCCGACGAUCAGUAGCCGACCUGAGAGGGUGACCGGCCACAUUGGGACUGAGACACGGCCCAGACUCCUACGGGAGGCAGCAGUGGGGAAUAUUGCACAAUGGAGGAAACUCUGAUGCAGCGACGCCGCGUGAAGGAUGAAGUAUUUCGGGAUGUAAACUUCUAUCAGCAGGGAAGAAAAUGACGGUACCUGACUAAGAAGCCCCGGCUAACUACGUG